UUGCUGGGUGGAUCAGUGGCGAACGGGUGAGUAACACGUGAGCAAUCUGCCCCUGACUCUGGGAUAAGCGCUGGAAACGGCGUCUAAUACUGGAUACGAACCGUGGAGGCAUCUUCAACGGUUGGAAAGAUUUUUUGGUCAGGGAUGAGCUCGCGGCCUAUCAGCUUGUUGGUGAGGUAAUGGCUCACCAAGGCGUCGACGGGUAGCCGGCCUGAGAGGGUGACCGGCCACACUGGGACUGAGACACGGCCCAGACUCCUACGGGAGGCAGCAGUGGGGAAUAUUGCACAAUGGGCGAAAGCCUGAUGCAGCAACGCCGCGUGAGGGAUGACGGCCUUCGGGUUGUAAACCUCUUUUAGCAGGGAAGAAGCGAAAGUGACGGUACCUGCAGAAAAAGCGCCGGCUAACUACGUGCCAGCAGCCGCGGUAAUACGUAGGGCGCAAGCGUUAUCCGGAAUUAUUGGGCGUAAAGAGCUCGUAGGCGGUUUGUCGCGUCUGCUGUGAAAUCCCGAGGCUCAACUUCGGGUCUGCAGUGGGUACGGGCAGACUAGAGUGCGUAAGGGGAGAUUGGAAUUCCUGGUGUAGCGGUGGAAUGCGCAGAUAUCAGGAGGAACACCGAUGGCGAAGGCAGAUCUCUGGGCCGUAACUGACGCUGAGGAGCGAAAGGGUGGGGAGCAAACAGGCUUAGAUACCCUGGUAGUCCACCCCGUAAACGUUGGGAACUAGUUGUGGGGUCCAUUCCACGGAUUCCGUGACGCAGCUAACGCAUUAAGUUCCCCGCCUGGGGAGUACGGCCGCAAGGCUAAAACUCAAAGGAAUUGACGGGGACCCGCACAAGCGGCGGAGCAUGCGGAUUAAUUC
RNAcentral lists this ribosomal RNA (861 nucleotides) under Microbacterium laevaniformans. Its description in RNAcentral is "bacterial SSU rRNA". It matches the Rfam family "Bacterial small subunit ribosomal RNA", at positions 80 to 952 of the family's 1533-position model. Lineage: Bacteria; Bacillati; Actinomycetota; Actinomycetes; Micrococcales; Microbacteriaceae. The record is from RNAcentral.